GGCGUGCCUAAUACAUGCAAGUCGAGCGAAUCGAUGGGAGCUUGCUCCCUGAGAUUAGCGGCGGACGGGUGAGUAACACGUGGGCAACCUGCCUAUAAGACUGGGAUAACUUCGGGAAACCGGAGCUAAUACCGGAUACGUUCUUUUCUCGCAUGAGAGAAGAUGGAAAGACGGUUUCGGCUGUCACUUAUAGAUGGGCCCGCGGCGCAUUAGCUAGUUGGUGAGGUAAUGGCUCACCAAGGCGACGAUGCGUAGCCGACCUGAGAGGGUGAUCGGCCACACUGGGACUGAGACACGGCCCAGACUCCUACGGGAGGCAGCAGUAGGGAAUCUUCCGCAAUGGACGAAAGUCUGACGGAGCAACGCCGCGUAACGAAGAAGGCCUUCGGGUCGUAAAGUUCUGUUGUUAGGGAAGAACAAGUU
Molecule: ribosomal RNA, 423 nt
Filed under: Bacillus sp. 228-4.1-LH-H14(s)-01
Lineage: Bacteria; Bacillati; Bacillota; Bacilli; Caryophanales; Bacillaceae
Description: bacterial SSU rRNA
Rfam family: Bacterial small subunit ribosomal RNA
Source: RNAcentral